RNAcentral lists this ribosomal RNA (253 nucleotides) under uncultured bacterium. RNAcentral describes it as "partial 16S ribosomal RNA". It matches the Rfam family "Bacterial small subunit ribosomal RNA", at positions 524 to 776 of the family's 1533-position model. The record is from RNAcentral.
UACGAAGGGGGCUAGCGUUGUUCGGAAUUACUGGGCGUAAAGCGCACGUAGGCGGACAUUUAAGUCAGGGGUGAAAUCCCGGGGCUCAACCCCGGAACGGCCUUUGAUACUGGGUGUCUUGAGUUCGGAAGAGGUGAGUGGAAUUGCGAGUGUAGAGGUGAAAUUCGUAGAUAUUCGCAGGAACACCAGUGGCGAAGGCGGCUCACUGGUCCGAUACUGACGCUGAGGUGCGAAAGCGUGGGGAGCGAACAGG